RNAcentral lists this long non-coding RNA (1033 nucleotides) under Homo sapiens (human). RNAcentral's name for it is "HSALNT0143490". Lineage: Eukaryota; Metazoa; Chordata; Mammalia; Primates; Hominidae. The record is from RNAcentral.
CCAUGUCAAACUAACCAAAUGAGCUCUAUUUAUAGGGUUUUACACCCAGUACCUAAAGGGAAAGCUCCUCAGUGAAGACUUGAACUUGACGUCCUUGCCUUAUCAAAAAAUAAAGUCUGCUUUUUAAAAUUAUGGUGCAGUGGUUCUCAAUCCCGGCAGCUUUAGCUAGCCUGGGGUGGCACCUGGGUGGAGACCAGAUAUCAAUAUAUUUUUUAAACCCCUCCAAGUUUUCAUGUGCAGUGAAGAUUGGAUUUCCAAGGCAGGACUCAGCCUCUGCCUGUUGACCUAGCAGUUCAGGUUCUCAGUCACCAAAUACUGGAACAGAAAUUUUGCUUCCCAUUUUGCAGAUAAGAAGAAAAGCCAAAUUGGAGAAAAAUAAAAUUGAGGGUGUAUCCAUGCCAAUAUACCAACACUGCAGGUAAAUGUCUAUCUAACGUCCAUCACUUCAGUGACACUACACUCUGGAAAUCUCUCAAACUAACUGUAUCUUCUAUUUUUCCUUUGAGGGAUGCUCUGCUUGCCCCUGCCCUUUAAGAAGGGGUGUUUCUCCAAGCUCCUUUCCUUGGCCACCUUCUUUUUAUUUUUUUUCUACUACUGUGUGCGUGUGUGUGUGUGUGAGAGAGAGAGCGAUUUCAUCCACUCUCAGAACUUAGCCAUAAUCUUUAAGUAUAGAUUCAACACAUCUUUAUGCCUUGCCCACUUUUCUGUCUUCUGAAUAGUUCUAUUUUAAAGGAAUGCUGGUUCCUUAAACUGGGCAUUCAGAGAACUGAAGACUAGUCUCCAUGGCACUGAUGUUCUAGUUUCUGUUUAAAUCACCCUUUCCUCAAACAUCUUACUGUCUCACUGUUGGUCUUCAUUCAGUAAUCCUCAUCAUGAUCAUUCCCAUAGAUUCUGCCUUCCUGGCCUUCCUGCUUUAUGCACUUGUAUUCCUCUGUCCAUCUCCCCAGUUCCCUUGCUUCAUACCAGGACCUCACCACCUGUCACUGGAAUCCUGCAGUGGGGUCAGGUAGGUGUGAUAGAGUAUAAAGAAAAU